This 404-nucleotide ribosomal RNA is filed under the name Verrucomicrobiota bacterium. RNAcentral describes it as "Verrucomicrobia bacterium partial 16S ribosomal RNA". It matches the Rfam family "Bacterial small subunit ribosomal RNA", at positions 355 to 776 of the family's 1533-position model. Lineage: Bacteria; Pseudomonadati; Verrucomicrobiota. The record is from RNAcentral.
UGGGGAAUAUUGCACAAUGGGCGCAAGCCUGAUGCAGCAACGCCGCGUGAACGAUGAAGGUCUUCGGAUCGUAAAGUUCUGUUGCAGGGGAAGAUAAUGACGGUACCCUGUGAGGAAGCCCCGGCUAACUACGUGCCAGCAGCCGCGGUAAUACGUAGGGGGCUAGCGUUGUCCGGAAUCACUGGGCGUAAAGGGUUCGCAGGCGGAAUAACAAGUCAGAUGUGAAAGGCAUGGGCGCAACCCAUGUAAGCAUUUGAAACUGUAAUUCUUGAGAAGGAGAGAGGUAAGUGGAACUCCUAGAGUAGCGGUGAAAGGCGUAGAUAUUAGGAGGAAUACCUGUGGGGAAGGCGACUUACUGGACAGAAAUCUGUCGCUGAGGAACGAAAGCGUGGGUAGCAAACAGG